GACGAACGCUGGCGGCGUGCCUAAUACAUGCAAGUAGAACGCACAGUUUAUACCGUAGCUUGCUACACCAUAGACUGUGAGUUGCGAACGGGUGAGUAACGCGUAGGUAACCUGCCUGGUAGCGGGGGAUAACUAUUGGAAACGAUAGCUAAUACCGCAUAAUAUUAAUUAUUGCAUGAUAAUUAAUUGAAAGGUGCAAUUGCACCACUACCAGAUGGACCUGCGUUGUAUUAGCUAGUAGGUGAGGUAACGGCUCACCUAGGCGACGAUACAUAGCCGACCUGGGAGGGUGAUCGGCAACACUGGGACUGAGACACGGCCCAGACUCCUACGGGAGGCAGCAGUAGGGAAUCGUCGGCAAUGGACGAAAGUCUGACCGAGAAACGCCGCGUGAGUGAAGAAGGUUUUCGGAUCGUAAAGCUCUGUUGUAAGAGAAGAACGGGUGUGAGAGUGGAAAGUUCACACUGUGACGGUAUCUUACCAGAAAGGGACGGCUAACUACGUG
This 505-nucleotide ribosomal RNA is filed under the name uncultured bacterium. RNAcentral describes it as "partial 16S ribosomal RNA". It matches the Rfam family "Bacterial small subunit ribosomal RNA", at positions 28 to 507 of the family's 1533-position model. The record is from RNAcentral.